CCUCCAGCCCAGCCCAGGAGAAAGGAGGUCGGCGGGAGGUGGAGGAAGGCUGAAAACCCUCUCCCAGCAGAGGAGAUGGCAGCAGCCGCCCAGCUGGAGAGACUCCAGCCUGACCACCUUUCCCCACGAGCGGCCCAGGUCCUCAGAAGGCUGGAGCCGCAUCAAGGACGGAGGACCAUCUUCAGGCACGUCACUGAGAACAACCGGCGGAAGCUGGAGCAGCAGAGGCAGCUCCCCUGCACGCGAUGCUGGUACCGCAGCGGAG
Molecule: long non-coding RNA, 265 nt
Organism: Aquila chrysaetos chrysaetos
Lineage: Eukaryota; Metazoa; Chordata; Aves; Accipitriformes; Accipitridae
Exons: 3
Source: RefSeq, a predicted model, not a curated record